Long non-coding RNA from Lactuca sativa (garden lettuce), 622 nucleotides. RefSeq lists it as uncharacterized. The record is from RefSeq and is a predicted model, not a curated record. Lineage: Eukaryota; Viridiplantae; Streptophyta; Magnoliopsida; Asterales; Asteraceae.
UUGUGGUUCAUUUGGAAGGCAAGAAACUCAUUGGUGUUCAACAAUAGGAGAUGUUCCCCUUUUAGAACGGCGGAUGAUAUCCAAUUACUUGGGUUCAGGCCCAGGGCAACAAAUUAUUGAGGGCAUCAAAAUUGUCCAACUAGUUAUAUGUAUAGUAUAUAUGACAAUGGCCCGAAAACUUAUCCCAUGGUGAUGAUCUGUUUACUGAUGUCGUGACUCGUGAGAAAAAAAGCUAGGGAGCACACGCCUCGAACCAAACGUCGCACAUGCCUAGAAUCCCGCUGGUGUUGCUGUCGAUUGGAGAAAUCAAUUCCUACCUAGAAUACGUCCCUCAUAAAUAAAAAAUAAAAAUUCUUUCUGAAUCUGAAUCUGAUUGUAGAGAACUUGUUUCACGGGAAUCCCAUUAAUAAAAGAAAGUUGAAGUAGCUGUUUGGCACACCCCAUCACAUGUGGUUACAGGGGCAGUGCUUGGGAUCCUGGUUGCGUGUAUUUGUUGUCAAUGUUUGCUUUGGUGUAAUCUGAAAUCUGAAUUCUAUGCAUUUGUUGUCAAUGUUUGCUUUGGUGUAAUCUGAAAUCUGAAUUCUAUGCAGGAUUGUUUUAUUUUAAAAACAAAUUUGUUUGA